ACGACCAUAGGGUGUGGAGAACAGGGCUUCCCGUCCGCUCAGCCGUACUUAAGCCACACGCCGGGAGGUUAGUAGUUGGGUGGGUGACCACCAGCGAAUCCCUUCUGUUGUAUGUU
RNAcentral lists this ribosomal RNA (116 nucleotides) under Aspergillus niger. Lineage: Eukaryota; Fungi; Ascomycota; Eurotiomycetes; Eurotiales; Aspergillaceae. The record is from RNAcentral.